This 874-nucleotide ribosomal RNA is filed under the name Bacillus velezensis. RNAcentral's name for it is "bacterial SSU rRNA". It matches the Rfam family "Bacterial small subunit ribosomal RNA", at positions 60 to 912 of the family's 1533-position model. Lineage: Bacteria; Bacillati; Bacillota; Bacilli; Caryophanales; Bacillaceae. The record is from RNAcentral.
AGUCGAGCGGACAGAUGGGAGCUUGCUCCCUGAUGUUAGCGGCGGACGGGUGAGUAACACGUGGGUAACCUGCCUGUAAGACUGGGAUAACUCCGGGAAACCGGGGCUAAUACCGGAUGGUUGUUUGAACCGCAUGGUUCAGACAUAAAAGGUGGCUUCGGCUACCACUUACAGAUGGACCCGCGGCGCAUUAGCUAGUUGGUGAGGUAACGGCUCACCAAGGCAACGAUGCGUAGCCGACCUGAGAGGGUGAUCGGCCACACUGGGACUGAGACACGGCCCAGACUCCUACGGGAGGCAGCAGUAGGGAAUCUUCCGCAAUGGACGAAAGUCUGACGGAGCAACGCCGCGUGAGUGAUGAAGGUUUUCGGAUCGUAAAGCUCUGUUGUUAGGGAAGAACAAGUGCCGUUCAAAUAGGGCGGCACCUUGACGGUACCUAACCAGAAAGCCACGGCUAACUACGUGCCAGCAGCCGCGGUAAUACGUAGGUGGCAAGCGUUGUCCGGAAUUAUUGGGCGUAAAGGGCUCGCAGGCGGUUUCUUAAGUCUGAUGUGAAAGCCCCCGGCUCAACCGGGGAGGGUCAUUGGAAACUGGGGAACUUGAGUGCAGAAGAGGAGAGUGGAAUUCCACGUGUAGCGGUGAAAUGCGUAGAGAUGUGGAGGAACACCAGUGGCGAAGGCGACUCUCUGGUCUGUAACUGACGCUGAGGAGCGAAAGCGUGGGGAGCGAACAGGAUUAGAUACCCUGGUAGUCCACGCCGUAAACGAUGAGUGCUAAGUGUUAGGGGGGUUUCCGCCCCUUAGUGCUGCAGCUAACGCAUUAAGCACUCCGCCUGGGGGAGUACGGUCGCAAGGACUGAAACUCAAAGGAAUUG